CACGUAGGGCGCAAGCGUUGUCCGGAAUUAUUGGGCGUAAAGAGCUCGUAGGCGGUCUGUUACGUCUGCUGUGAAAACCCAGGGCUUAACCCUGGGCUUGCAGUGGAUACGGGCAGACUAGAGGCAGGUAGGGGAGAAUGGAAUUCCCGGUGUAGCGGUGAAAUGCGCAGAUAUCAGGAGGAACACCGGUGGCGAAGGCGGAUCUCUGGGCCAUUACUGACGCUGAGGAGCGAAAGCGUGGGGAGCGAACCGG
RNAcentral lists this ribosomal RNA (253 nucleotides) under uncultured bacterium. Its description in RNAcentral is "partial 16S ribosomal RNA". It matches the Rfam family "Bacterial small subunit ribosomal RNA", at positions 524 to 776 of the family's 1533-position model. The record is from RNAcentral.